GCCUACUACCAUAUCACCCUGAAUGCGCCCGAUCUCGUCUGAUCUCGGAAGCUAAGCAUGGUCGAGCCUGGUUAGUACUUGGAUGGGAGACUGCCUGGGAAAGAAGGCCGCGCCUGGGCU
RNAcentral lists this ribosomal RNA (120 nucleotides) under Petromyzon marinus (sea lamprey). The record is from RNAcentral. Lineage: Eukaryota; Metazoa; Chordata; Hyperoartia; Petromyzontiformes; Petromyzontidae.